ACCUCCGGAUAGUCUUCGGCCUUUUUAUCUCCCACAAAAUCAUGGUGGUAGCUAUGGGCACUUGACACUGAAUGUCUCGGAACAUAUUGAUGAUUGCUUGGGGCCGCUGGAUGCAGAAGAUAAACAAGAUCAAGACCUUGUCAUUGCAGAUAAAAAAGGACCACUUGUUGUUUCAACAGGUCCAGCUGUGUUCUACCCAAAUCCUCCAAACCCUUCUAA
This 219-nucleotide unclassified non-coding RNA is filed under the name Hevea brasiliensis (rubber tree). Lineage: Eukaryota; Viridiplantae; Streptophyta; Magnoliopsida; Malpighiales; Euphorbiaceae. The record is from RNAcentral.